AAGAAACCAACAGGGAUUACCUCAGUAACGGCGAGUGAAGCGGUAACAGCUCAAAUUUGAAAUCUGGCUCUUUUAGGGUCCGAGUUGUAAUUUGUAGAAGAUGCUUUGGGUGUGGCCCCGGUCUAAGUUCCUUGGAACAGGACGUCAUAGAGGGUGAGAAUCCCGURUGUGACUGGGUGCUUUCGCCCGUGUAAAGCUCUUUCGACGAGUCGAGUUGUUUGGGAAUGCAGCUCAAAAUGGGUGGUAUAUUUCAUCUAAAGCUAAAUAUUGGCCAGAGACCGAUAGCGCACAAGUAGAGUGAUCGAAAGAUGAAAAGCACUUUGGAAAGAGAGUUAAACAGUACGUGAAAUUGUUGAAAGGGAAGCGCUUGCAACCAGACUUGCAUGCCGUCGAUCAUCUGGGGUUCUCCUCAGUGCACUCGGCGGUAUUCAGGCCAGCAUCGGUUUGGGUGGCGGGAUAAAGGCCUUGGGAACGUAGCAGCUUUCGGGCUGUGUUAUAGCCCUCGGUGCAAUGCCGCCUACCCGGACCGAGGACCGCGCUUCGGCUAGGAUGCUGGCGUAAUGGUUGUAAGCGACCCGUCUUGAAACACGGACCAAGGAGUCUAACAUCUAUGCGAGUCUUUGGGUGUUAAACCCAUAGGCGUAAUGAAAGUGAACGGAGGUGAGAACCCUUUAGGGUGCAUCAUCGACCGAUCCUGAUGUCUUCGGAUGGAUUUGAGUAAGAGCAUAGCUGUUGGGACCCGAAAGAUGGUGAACUAUGCCUAAAUAGGGUGAAGCCAGAGGAAACUCUGGUGGAGGCUCGCAGCGGUUCUGACGUGCAAAUCGAUCGUCAAAUUUGGGUAUAGGGGCGAAAGACUAAUCGAACCAUUAGAGAGAACGCUACUAGGUGGUUAAGAGACCGCCGAAAGAGCGAUUUAGUGGCCCUUGUGCCGCGACACUGUCAAAGUGACGGGGACCGUCCUGUUUGAAAUACUACUACCGCAGUAGGGGUGAAAGCCUCUACGAGCACCGGGUUAACAGCCUUGGGGAUGGUAAUAACGUGGUAUUAGGGACCGACCCGCAGCCAAACCCUAAGUCUACGGAUACGGGUGCAGCUCACAGACUAAAUGUCAGUGGGUGGCAUGCCUUACAGCGUGCUGCUUAAGUUAUAGUCGAACUCAUCCCUCCUGGGGUGGGUAAACGC
This 1182-nucleotide ribosomal RNA is filed under the name Helotiaceae sp. RNAcentral's name for it is "LSU rRNA". It matches the Rfam family "Eukaryotic large subunit ribosomal RNA", at positions 59 to 1103 of the family's 3401-position model. The record is from RNAcentral. Lineage: Eukaryota; Fungi; Ascomycota; Leotiomycetes; Helotiales; Helotiaceae.